CAUGUAUUUCAUGUUGUAUUUCUUGUGCUGUGUGUGUGCAGCUUGAAUUAGUGUAUCCUUUAUGCAAACACUCCUCAUGCAUUUGGUGAACAGAUCCUUCAGGCUGCGGCUCGUGUCCAGAGCUGUAACUGUGUUUGGACCACAGCGAGGGAAGAGAGAGACAGUAAAUUAUGACGAAGGAGAGGGAAGCUGAUGGAAGGGAGCAGGAAACCAGACCAAACAUGGGCACAGGUGACGCACGGAGGAUACCCAGUUUCCAUAGCAACAGGCAGGUGCAAGACACUGGGAGCGAGCUUUCGAUCUGCUGAGCAGACAGGUUCACUUCAGAGCGAUUGAAGACACAAGAAGCAGGAGGACAGAGGAGGACGUUCCCACGCUGCCGAGUCUACGGACCAUCAGCUGGAAGACAUCAGUCCGUCUCUCUGGCUGCAACUGAGGAAACUGCU
Amphiprion ocellaris (clown anemonefish) is the source of this 446-nucleotide long non-coding RNA. The record is from Ensembl. NCBI's taxonomy places the organism in Eukaryota, Metazoa, Chordata, Actinopteri, Pomacentridae.